Molecule: ribosomal RNA, 1243 nt
Filed under: Escherichia coli
Lineage: Bacteria; Pseudomonadati; Pseudomonadota; Gammaproteobacteria; Enterobacterales; Enterobacteriaceae
Description: partial 23S ribosomal RNA
Rfam family: Bacterial large subunit ribosomal RNA
Source: RNAcentral
UGUUUCGGCAAGGGGGUCAUCCCGACUUACCAACCCGAUGCAAACUGCGAAUACCGGAGAAUGUUAUCACGGGAGACACACGGCGGGUGCUAACGUCCGUCGUGAAGAGGGAAACAACCCAGACCGCCAGCUAAGGUCCCAAAGUCAUGGUUAAGUGGGAAACGAUGUGGGAAGGCCCAGACAGCCAGGAUGUUGGCUUAGAAGCAGCCAUCAUUUAAAGAAAGCGUAAUAGCUCACUGGUCGAGUCGGCCUGCGCGGAAGAUGUAACGGGGCUAAACCAUGCACCGAAGCUGCGGCAGCGACGCUUAUGCGUUGUUGGGUAGGGGAGCGUUCUGUAAGCCUGUGAAGGUGUGCUGUGAGGCAUGCUGGAGGUAUCAGAAGUGCGAAUGCUGACAUAAGUAACGAUAAAGCGGGUGAAAAGCCCGCUCGCCGGAAGACCAAGGGUUCCUGUCCAACGUUAAUCGGGGCAGGGUGAGUCGACCCCUAAGGCGAGGCCGAAAGGCGUAGUCGAUGGGAAACAGGUUAAUAUUCCUGUACUUGGUGUUACUGCGAAGGGGGGACGGAGAAGGCUAUGUUGGCCGGGCGACGGUUGUCCCGGUUUAAGCGUGUAGGCUGGUUUUCCAGGCAAAUCCGGAAAAUCAAGGCUGAGGCGUGAUGACGAGGCACUACGGUGCUGAAGCAACAAAUGCCCUGCUUCCAGGAAAAGCCUCUAAGCAUCAGGUAACAUCAAAUCGUACCCCAAACCGACACAGGUGGUCAGGUAGAGAAUACCAAGGCGCUUGAGAGAACUCGGGUGAAGGAACUAGGCAAAAUGGUGCCGUAACUUCGGGAGAAGGCACGCUGAUAUGUAGGUGAAGUCCCUCGCGGAUGGAGCUGAAAUCAGUCGAAGAUACCAGCUGGCUGCAACUGUUUAUUAAAAACACAGCACUGUGCAAACACGAAAGUGGACGUAUACGGUGUGACGCCUGCCCGGUGCCGGAAGGUUAAUUGAUGGGGUCAGCGCAAGCGAAGCUCUUGAUCGAAGCCCCGGUAAACGGCGGCCGUAACUAUAACGGUCCUAAGGUAGCGAAAUUCCUUGUCGGGUAAGUUCCGACCUGCACGAAUGGCGUAAUGAUGGCCAGGCUGUCUCCACCCGAGACUCAGUGAAAUUGAACUCGCUGUGAAGAUGCAGUGUACCCGCGGCAAGACGGAAAGACCCCGUGAACCUUUACUAUAGCUUGACACUGAACAUUGAGCCUUGAUG